Molecule: ribosomal RNA, 301 nt
Filed under: uncultured bacterium
Lineage: Bacteria
Description: partial 16S ribosomal RNA
Rfam family: Bacterial small subunit ribosomal RNA
Source: RNAcentral
CAGCCGCCGCGGGAAUACAGAGGAUGCAAGCGUUAUCCGGAAUGAUUGGGCGUAAAGCGCACGUAGGCGGAUAUUUAAGUCAGGGGUGAAAUCCCAGAGCUCAACUCUGGAACUGCCUUUGAUACUGGGUAUCUUGAGUAUGGAAGAGGUGAGUGGAAUUCCGAGUGUAGAGGUGAAAUUCGUAGAUAUUCGGAGGAACACCAGUGGCGAAAGCGGCUCACUGGUCCAUUACUGACGCUGAGGUGCGAAAGCGUGGGGAGCAAACAGGAUUAGAUACCCCUGUAGUCCCUGUCUCUUAUAC